UGAGGAAUUUUGCGCAAUGGGAGCAAUCCUGUCGCAGCAACGCCGCGUGGGUGAAGAAGGCCUUCGGGUCGUAAAGCCCUGUCAGGAGGGAAGAACCUCGCUUGGGCGAAUAGCCUCGGCGACUGACGGUACCUCCAGAGGAAGCACCGGCUAACUCCGUG
Molecule: ribosomal RNA, 161 nt
Filed under: uncultured bacterium
Lineage: Bacteria
Description: partial 16S ribosomal RNA
Rfam family: Bacterial small subunit ribosomal RNA
Source: RNAcentral